GUGACAUUUCUGCCUUUGGGGGAGGCAUCAACGGGGUCACCAACUGACCCCCUUUCUCCAUCUUCCUCCCCAGGUAACAAGCCAGGAUAAGGCCCCCACUGUGGUAGCAAAUGUGCUGGAGAAACACAACCAGGACAAGAAUCUGGCACAUGACUACGAGCUGGUGCAGCUGUUGCCGGAUGGCCGAGAGCUGGUCUUCCCCCCCAUGGAAAACAUCUUCUAUGCCAGGAAUGGCUUCAGCCUGGACUUCCUGCUCCGGCCCAAGGGCCCACCGAGGAAGACCCCCCCUCCC
This is a non-coding RNA of Pseudonaja textilis, 292 nucleotides long. The record is from RefSeq and is a predicted model, not a curated record. NCBI's taxonomy places the organism in Eukaryota, Metazoa, Chordata, Lepidosauria, Squamata, Elapidae.